RNAcentral lists this transfer RNA (69 nucleotides) under Heterocephalus glaber (naked mole-rat). It matches the Rfam family "tRNA". From Rfam's summary of the family: Transfer RNA (tRNA) molecules are approximately 80 nucleotides in length. The record is from Rfam by way of RNAcentral. Lineage: Eukaryota; Metazoa; Chordata; Mammalia; Rodentia; Bathyergidae.
GGGAGUGUAGCUCAAUGAUAGAGCGCUUGCCUAGCAUACAAGAGGCUCUAGAUUUCAUCUCUAGCACCA